CCAAUAGUAUAUAUUAAAGUUGUUGCAGUUAAAAAGCUCAUAGUUGAAUUUUGGAAUCAAUAUUUCAGUCAUGCCAUUGGUAUGCACUGUUAUCAUUAAUUUUUCACCUUCUAAAGAACCGUAAUAUCAUUAAUUUGGUGUUACAGUGAAUUAGGACUGUUAUCUUGGAAAAAUUAGAGUGUUUAAAGUAGACUUACACUUGAAUACAUUAGCAUGGAAUAAUGAAAUAGGACAUCCGAUUCUAUUUUGUUAGUUUCUAGGAUUGAUGUAAUGAUUAAUAGGGAUAGUUGGGAGUAUUAGUAUUCAAUUGUCAGAGGUGAAAUUCUUGGAUUUAUUGAAGAUUAACUACUGCAAAAGUAUUUGUUAAGGAUGUUUUCAUUAAUCAAGAAUGAAAGUUAGGAGAUCGAAGACGAUCAGAUACCGUCGUAGUCUUAACCAUAAACUAUGCUGACUAGGGAUCAGAUGAUGUUAAUUUUUUAAUGACUCAUUUAGCGCCUUACG
Molecule: ribosomal RNA, 501 nt
Filed under: uncultured Glomeromycotina
Lineage: Eukaryota; Fungi; Glomeromycota
Description: partial small subunit ribosomal RNA
Rfam family: Eukaryotic small subunit ribosomal RNA
Source: RNAcentral